GAGUUUGAUCAUGGCUCAGGAUGAACGCUGGCGGCGUGCCUAAUACAUGCAAGUCGAGCGAACGGACGAGAAGCUUGCUUCUCUGAUGUUAGCGGCGGACGGGUGAGUAACACGUGGAUAACCUACCUAUAAGACUGGGAUAACUUCGGGAAACCGGAGCUAAUACCGGAUAAUAUUUUGAACCGCAUGGUUCAAAAGUGAAAGACGGUCUUGCUGUCACUUAUAGAUGGAUCCGCGCUGCAUUAGCUAGUUGGUAAGGUAACGGCUUACCAAGGCAACGAUGCAUAGCCGACCUGAGAGGGUGAUCGGCCACACUGGAACUGAGACACGGUCCAGACUCCUACGGGAGGCAGCAGUAGGGAAUCUUCCGCAAUGGGCGAAAGCCUGACGGAGCAACGCCGCGUGAGUGAUGAAGGUCUUCGGAUCGUAAAACUCUGUUAUUAGGGAAGAACAUAUGUGUAAGUAACUGUGCAUAUCUUGACGGUACCUAAUCAGAAAGCCACGGCUAACUACG
This 514-nucleotide ribosomal RNA is filed under the name uncultured microorganism. Its description in RNAcentral is "bacterial SSU rRNA". It matches the Rfam family "Bacterial small subunit ribosomal RNA", at positions 9 to 505 of the family's 1533-position model. The record is from RNAcentral.